ACGCUCGACACCUACGGAGGCAGCAGUGGGGAAUAUUGCACAAUGGGGGAAACCCUGAUGCAGCAACGCCGCGUGAAGGAAGAAGGUUUUCGGAUCGUAAACUUCUAUCAAUAGGGAAGAAAGAAAUGACGGUACCUAAAUAAGAAGCCCCGGCUAACUACGUCNCANNCGCGAGUAUGNGNGGCGNGNGAG
RNAcentral lists this ribosomal RNA (192 nucleotides) under uncultured bacterium. Its description in RNAcentral is "partial 16S ribosomal RNA". It matches the Rfam family "Bacterial small subunit ribosomal RNA", at positions 328 to 540 of the family's 1533-position model. The record is from RNAcentral.